This 66-nucleotide transfer RNA is filed under the name Xenograpsus ngatama. RNAcentral describes it as "tRNA-Pro". Lineage: Eukaryota; Metazoa; Arthropoda; Malacostraca; Decapoda; Xenograpsidae. The record is from RNAcentral.
CAGGGAAUAGUUUAAAUAAAAUAUUAGCUUUGGGAGUUAAAGUUAAAGAAGUUUCUUUUUCUCUGA